UGAUAACUAGUCUAACACAAGACAACUAAUUUCGACUUAGUUAAUCAUGAUUAAAUCCAUGGUUAUCCA
Molecule: transfer RNA, 69 nt
Filed under: Platysternon megacephalum (big-headed turtle)
Lineage: Eukaryota; Metazoa; Chordata; Testudines; Platysternidae
Description: tRNA-Arg
Source: RNAcentral